CAGCCGCCGCGGGAAUACGUAGGUGGCAAGCGUUGUCCGGAAUUAUUGGGCGUAAAGGGCUCGCAGGCGGUUUCUUAAGUCUGAUGUGAAAGCCCCCGGCUCAACCGGGGAGGGUCAUUGGAAACUGGGAAACUUGAGUGCAGAAGAGGAGAGUGGAAUUCCACGUGUAGCGGUGAAAUGCGUAGAGAUGUGGAGGAACACCAGUGGCGAAGGCGACUCUCUGGUCUGUAACUGACGCUGAGGAGCGAAAGCGUGGGGAGCGAACAGGAUUAGAGACCCCAGUAGUCCCUGUCUCUUAUAC
This 301-nucleotide ribosomal RNA is filed under the name uncultured bacterium. RNAcentral's name for it is "partial 16S ribosomal RNA". It matches the Rfam family "Bacterial small subunit ribosomal RNA", at positions 509 to 807 of the family's 1533-position model. The record is from RNAcentral.